GGGGAGUACGUUGGCAAGAAUGAAACUCAAAGGAAUUGAUGGGGACCCGCACAAGUGAUGGAGCAUGUGGUUCAAUUUGAUGCAAAGCGAAGAACCUUACUAGGGCCUAACAUUCCGUGAAUCCUCCCAAAAGAGAGAAGUGUCUUUGGGAAUGCGCACACAGGUGGCGCAUGGCUGUCGUCAACUAGUGUCAUAAGGUCUUGGGUUAAGUCUCACUACGAGCACAACCCUCGUGUUUAGUUUCCAGCAUUGAGUUUGGAAACCUGAACAAGUUAUCAUGUCGCUUAUGCCCUGAGCAACACACGUGCUACAAUGGUCAUGAUAAAGGGUCACAACCCCGUAAGGGAAAGCUAACUUCAAAAACCCGAUGGUAGGUUAUAUAGAUCGUUAGAUUACGUGAGUGCUAGGUCAAUGAAAUAUCUCAUCCUUCUAUUUCAUCUUUGAAAGUAUCAAUUCAUAUGGAAUUGGGCACAUGUCCA
This is a non-coding RNA of Picea glauca (white spruce), 479 nucleotides long. NCBI's taxonomy places the organism in Eukaryota, Viridiplantae, Streptophyta, Pinopsida, Pinales, Pinaceae. The record is from Rfam.